RNAcentral lists this ribosomal RNA (468 nucleotides) under uncultured bacterium. RNAcentral describes it as "partial 16S ribosomal RNA". It matches the Rfam family "Bacterial small subunit ribosomal RNA", at positions 28 to 507 of the family's 1533-position model. The record is from RNAcentral.
GACGAACGCUGGCGGCGUGCUUAACACAUGCAAGUCGAACGGAAAGGCCCUGCUUUUGUGGGGUGCUCGAGUGGCGAACGGGUGAGUAACACGUGAGUAACCUGCCCUUGGCUUGGGGAUAACUUCAGGAAACUGGGGCUAAUACCGGAUAGGAGCUCCUGCUGCAUGGUGGGGGUGGGAAAGUUUCGGCGGUUGGGGAUGGACGCGCGGCUUAUCUGCUUGUGGGUGGGGUAGUGGCUUUCCAAGGCUUGGACGGAUCUCCGGCCUGAGAGGGGGACCAGCCACAUUGGGACUGCGAUACGGCCCAGACUCCUACGGGGGGCAGCAGUGGGGAAUAUUGCACAAUGGGCGGAAGCCUGAUGCAGCAACGCCGCGUGCGGGAUGACGGCCUUCGGGUUGUAAACCGCUUUCGCCUGUGACGAAGCGUGAGUGACGGUAAUGGGUAAAGAAGCACCGGCUAACUACGUG